Molecule: unclassified non-coding RNA, 2221 nt
Filed under: uncultured fungus
Lineage: Eukaryota; Fungi
Description: sequence contains 18S rRNA gene, ITS1, 5.8S rRNA gene, ITS2, 28S rRNA gene
Rfam family: Eukaryotic large subunit ribosomal RNA (bases 1038-2221)
Source: RNAcentral
GGAAGGAUCAUUAACACGUUAUGUAAAACGUUUUUAUCAAGCUAAAAACCUGUGAACUUUUUUUUUGACGUGAGGGUUUUCAAAAGGUAAUGAACUGUCCCUUUGAAGAAGGCUUUCCUCUCGCGAGGCAAAAAGCGUUUCACAAAGAAGACAGAUCAUUCCCUUUUUUGCCCCGCCUCAAUUUUCAAACCACUUUCACUUUUUUUUUCUUCCGGCUUCUUUUUGUGUAGUUGUUGUUGUCGUUGUUGCGCAUGCCGCAGCAGCAGCAGCUUACUUAGCAAGCCGGAAGUGUGCAAAUGUGUUUUGAAAGAAAUCUGCUUCUUUUUUUUUUUGUCUGCUUUUUUCUGUCUCAGCAACUGAGACAGAGAGAAACUCAUUUUAAAAAAAAGAGCAGGUGAAUAGAAGCGGCUUGUUGCUGUGCUGCGUUUCAUCAUGAACGCACAGCCAGCCACUCUUCUAUGAACCAAAUGCUGAACAACUCUUAGCAACGGAUAUCUUGGUUCCCGCAACGAUGAAGAACGCAGCAAACUGCGAUACGUAUUGCGAAUUGCAGAAUUCAGUGAAUCAUCAAAUUUUCGAACGCACACGGCGCUCUCGGGUAUCCCUGGGAGCACGUUCUCCUCAGUGUCGCUUUGCACCCCAACUCGGCUGCGUGUUUGUGUGUUCUGAAAAAGACACACUUGCCAAGUGGUCGGAGAAUGAGCUGUCUCGCUCUGCUUGCAGAGCGAGUCGCUUGAAAUGCUCUGCUGCACUCUGUUGCCGCGGCCUGUUCAACGCUUUCACUUUUUUUUGGGCACGAUGGAACCGACCAAAAAAAAGAGAGAGAGAAAAUCCGUUGACCGGUUGAUAAUGCUCUUCCUCGGUGAAGGCAGUCAUCCGUGUCUUUCGACAUUUUCUCUUUCUCUUUCGGUUCCGGGCGGGCGACCAGAAAAAGAGUUGGAUCGGGCACUUCUUUUUUGUCACUAGACAAAAAAGAACAACAGCGGUGCCUCUUUCAGCAACCCCACAACAAACCAAACCUUCAACACAUAGCAUUUAGACCUGAGGUGGAGCGAGGAGACCCGCUGAAUUUAAGCAUAUUAUUAAGCGGAGGAAAAGAAACUAACCAGGAUUCCCCUAGUAACGGCGAGUGAAGCGGGAAGAGCUCAACAUUGGAAUCGGUGUCCCUGUCGGACUCCGAGUUGUAAUCUAGAGACGUGCCGUCAGCGUGCGACCUGGGUAUAACUCUUUUGGAACAAGGGAUCAUAGAGGGUGAGAAUCCCGUCUGUGACCCGGAGUUCGCCGCGUACGACGCAUGUUCGAAGAGUCGAGUUGCUUGGGACUGCAGCUCUAAAUGGGUGGUAUACUUCAUCUAAGGCUAAAUACUGGCGGGAGACCGAUAGCGAACAAGUAGCGUGAGCGAAAGGUGAAAAAAGAACUUUGAAAAGAGAGUUAAACAGUACUUGAAAUUGCUAAGAGGUAAGUUAUGGAAACCAAGUCACUGCGGCGGGUCAUAUUUACCACUCGUCUUGGAAGGGCGGUUGCGCGCGGAGCUUCACGGCCCGCACCGCGCAGCCGCCGGACCUUUGGCGGGUGGGUCCUGUGGCCCGUCUUUGUGCGUGUCAGAAUCAGUUUUGUUUGCUCGCCGGAGAAUCCCGUUGGCGGAAGGUGGGACUGUAUGGGUUUCGGCUCAUGCAUUCCGUUAUAGCCGUCCGGGCAUACGAGUGGGCCAGACUGAGGGUAUGAAAGAGAAGGCACUUUUUAGAGCGUGCCGCGGCCUGCGCGGCCAUCUUGGCUUGGACAGCAAAGCUGUGCGGCUAGAAAAGCGGUGUACUGCCAGCGGGCCACGCUUCUCGUGCUCUUCGCGAUUCUGACGAAAUGGUUUUCAUUGACCCGUCUCGAAACACGGACCAAGGAGUCUAACAUAUAUGCGAGUAUUUGGGUGCGUGAAACCCUGAUGCGCAAUGAAAGUGAAGCGAGCUCUUCUUGUAGCUCGUGAGGUAGGAACCGUUGGGGCCAAUUUUUUUUCCCAGCGGGGCACUAUCGACCGAUCGAUCACUUGUGGUAGAUUUGAGUAAGAGCAUAUCUGUUGGGACCCGAAAGAUGGUGAUCUAUGCCUGAACAGGGUGAAGCCAGGGGAAACUCUGGUGGAAGCUCGUAGCGAUGCUGACGUGCAAAUCGUUCGUCUGAUUUGGGUAUAGGGGCGAAAGACUAAUCGAACCAUCUAGUAGCUGGUUCCCUC